Long non-coding RNA from Lampris incognitus (smalleye Pacific opah), 423 nucleotides. RefSeq lists it as uncharacterized. The record is from RefSeq and is a predicted model, not a curated record. The transcript has 3 exons. Lineage: Eukaryota; Metazoa; Chordata; Actinopteri; Lampriformes; Lampridae.
AGUCGAUACGGAAACCUUCUCACCUCCUUCAUGUCUUCGUAGAAAAGGCCCUCUCGACACCUGGAAGAGGGAUUCCUCCUCCGAUGCUCCUGCUGAGGUUUCACGAUAUUUUUUCUGGAAAGUCAUUUUUAGUGUGGAGUUUUCCUCAUCGAAAGUGAGGCUCGAAGGAUCGAAGGUCUACAGGGUGGUGCUGGUGGCGUGGCUCGGGUCCUGGGCUGUCCCGGAGGCGGCUGGACACUGCUUGGCAUCCUCCUCAUCGUAUUCUUCACAUAUCUUGUAAUUCCAUUAGAAUUCUGGUAUCCUCUUUCAAUGUUGUAUUGUGUAAAUUGUUUUAUUCUGUAAACACAACAUUCAUUGCACGUUGUCUGUCUUGGGAGAGCGAUCCCUCCUCUGUUGCUCUCCCUGAGGUUUCCCCCUGUUAAA